AACAAAGCUUAAAAGACCUGAGCUCAAUCCAAAGAAAACAAAGCCGAGAAUGCCUGUACAGGUACAGGUUCCAGUUUUAAAAUUGCUGAGCGAGCUAUAUAUCCUCAGAAAGUUGUUCGUGUCUAGUUUCCAACGCAUCAAUGGUGCAGGAUCUGGAGCUUUGUACCAAACGUUAUAACCAAUUUACUUACAAGUGCGCGCGCUGCAAUAACAGGAAUCCAGCAGAACCGAAAUCUUUGUGUCAAAUUUCACAACCUGCAUGACUGCCUCCUAGUCAACAAACAUUCAAUGGAGCUUUGACAAUCUUACUUCCAACCCACUUGCAUGUCAGUAGCUUUAUUUGUCAAUAAAGACAGCAACCUAGGCCAAAGAUUGAACACAGAUGAUAGAUGGUUGAAAAAACGUGCCUAGAUGUAGAAGAAGAAGAUAUGAAAAGAGAGCGGGGAAAGAAGAGACGCAAGUGAAGGCAUUCUGUGAUAAAAAGUAAAUGGGCUUUGUGAGAAGAGGGCUGUGGAUCUGAGACGGUGUCGCUUAACAGGCAUUGCUGAGAUAAAAAGUAAAUGGGCUUGUAGCCCACACAUGAUGGGCUGACAAAAAGGAAUGGGGGGUUCGGGUCUGGUCUUGAUGUGCAAUCAUUAAUAUUUGAAGAGGACAAUAACCAAAUUGUCACACUUAACACGUUUAGUCUACUCCGAAAUCUUAGAAAAUAAGAAUAAUAAAGGGGUGAUUAUCAUUUAUCCAUAACAUUAGGAGGAUAAUUCUUAUCCUUAAUUCUUUAGGCUGCCUCGAGAGAUUUGUCUCUUCUCUUCUCUCUUCGCUUCUUAAUCUCAUCCUCCCAAGUAAUGUUGCUUCAAAGAACAAAAAAGCUCCUUCAUGGAUACUUAUCCACCGGCCCCUAAUGAGUUGAAAACUGAGUUUGUGACAUAUUUAUCUCCUCCUAUCAUGGUGGCUUAUCUGGUGGGGCCCCGGAAAUUAAGGGCAGUGGACCAUGGUGUGUCUGGCUCCCUCGAUCAUAAAUGGUAAAUGCAAAGCUUUCAGCGUGGAAAUAAGGCUAGAGAAGUGGGCCUUUUCUUCCCCCAGGCCCUCAAUUGCACAGAAAAAAUCCUGGUUAUCUGUCCUCUAGACGAUGGCUAAUGGAUAGUGGUUAUCGUCUGACUUCUGUGCUGUAUCUUCUACACUCGUGGAAGAUGACACCGUAACAGAUGUAAUGAUAGUAAUCUUGGUAACCAUGCACUCCGGCGACCGAUGUUGCUCUCUUUGUUCUCGUAAUUACUUGUCCAGGAAAGAAUAUUGGAUGGAGGAUUGGAAAAAGAAGGAGUGGAUAUGAGGAGAGGGGUCGAGAAGGAAGGAUUUGAUGUUUGUAUAAAAAGGACAACGAUAUAAGAAAGUAUUCUUCCUCCUUGUAAUUCUUAAUCAUUUUCCAUUUAGAUGGAUAUCGACUCUUAUCCUUUCUAUUUUUUUAAUAAUAUUGAUUCGGAUGAAUGGA
Molecule: long non-coding RNA, 1486 nt
Organism: Populus euphratica (Euphrates poplar)
Lineage: Eukaryota; Viridiplantae; Streptophyta; Magnoliopsida; Malpighiales; Salicaceae
Exons: 2
Source: RefSeq, a predicted model, not a curated record